This 768-nucleotide ribosomal RNA is filed under the name Bacillus cereus. RNAcentral's name for it is "bacterial SSU rRNA". It matches the Rfam family "Bacterial small subunit ribosomal RNA", at positions 28 to 776 of the family's 1533-position model. Lineage: Bacteria; Bacillati; Bacillota; Bacilli; Caryophanales; Bacillaceae. The record is from RNAcentral.
GAUGAACGCUGGCGGCGUGCCUAAUACAUGCAAGUCGAGCGAAUGGAUUAAGAGCUUGCUCUUAUGAAGUCAGCGGCGGACGGGUGAGUAACACGUGGGUAACCUGCCCAUAAGACUGGGAUAACUCCGGGAAACCGGGGCUAAUACCGGAUAACAUUUUGAAUCGCAUGGUUCGAAAUUGAAAGGCGGCUUCGGCUGUCACUUAUGGAUGGACCCGCGUCGCAUUAGCUAGUUGGUGAGGUAACGGCUCACCAAGGCAACGAUGCGUAGCCGACCUGAGAGGGUGAUCGGCCACACUGGGACUGAGACACGGCCCAGACUCCUACGGGAGGCAGCAGUAGGGAAUCUUCCGCAAUGGACGAAAGUCUGACGGAGCAACGCCGCGUGAGUGAUGAAGGCUUUCGGGUCGUAAAACUCUGUUGUUAGGGAAGAACAAGUGCUAGUUGAAUAAGCUGGCACCUUGACGGUACCUAACCAGAAAGCCACGGCUAACUACGUGCCAGCAGCCGCGGUAAUACGUAGGUGGCAAGCGUUAUCCGGAAUUAUUGGGCGUAAAGCGCGCGCAGGUGGUUUCUUAAGUCUGAUGUGAAAGCCCACGGCUCAACCGUGGAGGGUCAUUGGAAACUGGGAGACUUGAGUGCAGAAGAGGAAAGUGGAAUUCCAUGUGUAGCGGUGAAAUGCGUAGAGAUAUGGAGGAACACCAGUGGCGAAGGCGACUUUCUGGUCUGUAACUGACACUGAGGCGCGAAAGCGUGGGGAGCAAACAGG